GACUCAGCUGGCACCCUCCCCCAUGUGCCAAAAGACCCACUGGCAGAAGGGUGUUGGAAGAGGCACAGCAGAAGCCAAAAGCUCUGUGAAUCCUGGGGUUGCAAGCCUAGGUGGAUGCUUACAAAGGUUCAGGUGCUUUCUUGCUUAUUUGUCCAAGGAAGUCCAACCUGCACGUACCUGUGUGGAUGAUGGAGACAGAGCCAGAGCAGAGGACACAGGGAGACAAUGCAUUUGCUUUGGAGGUGCAAGAAACCAGCUCUUUUAAGAAAAACUUUAAGAACAGAAUUACUGAAACUGCUUCACUUUCAAGCCAAAGAGAUGAACUUCUCAUCACAAGAAUUUUUCACGUGAUUCCCAGCCAAUGGGAGGGGUAGACAUUGGAGCAUUGGACAGAGACAAGAACAUGAGAACGGCUCUUGGCUUUGGCUGCGGCAGGCAACCCUUUCUUCAUGUUACACAGGAGCGGAAGGCCUCAGAGUGGGAGAAGUGAUGACCCUCUGCUGCCCCAAGAGUAGCACCAGAAGAUUCUCCCAGCCUCACGGAAAUUGCCUGAAAAUGCCCAUAGCCCUGCAGCCCAGCCUCUUCAGAUGCCUUGCUGGAGGAAUAGCUAAGGGAGCCCCUACCAUUUGCCUGAGGUCAGAAUCCUCAGAGGCCCAGCACCUGUGGACUUAUUUUUAACCCUUAUUUUAAAGUCUGGUUUCUAGUACCAUACCAGUACCAUCUCAAGUUGGUAGCCAUCUUCUUUCUCAGACAGGUCCUGAGUAUAGGUGCCUGGCCCACUCUCUGGUUCCAAUAAUCAGGACCUCUUGGUGGUCACUCUAUAAAUCAAUCCCCUGUCCAAUGGCUUGCUUUUCCAUGGAGGCUUAUUUUUCAUGGUCUUUUCCCCUCCCCCUCCUCUUUUGUCUCUUCCCAGGAAGAUCUGCUGCCUGACGUAGCUAUUGUAUUUGGAAAUGAGCCGCCUGGACUGAUGAAUAAAUUGCAUUUUAUCCCUCCCUGUCACUUCUGGUUGGGGAAGCAACUAGGAGAUGAAAGCAGAGACUUCAAAAGCACUUCUUCUGACAUGGAACAGACUUUCAUAUCUGAGUCUGCCUGUCCAUGUUAAACCCAGAGCCUUGGAAGCUUGGUGAGAGCCAGGUCUCAGCUAGCACAGAGAAUCCUGAUGGCCUCCCUGGUGGCUCAGCAUUGCCUUGAGGUCAAGCCUCUGGGGAUGGGCAUUUGGUGGCCACUGUCUUCACUGAAUCAGUGAAAGGGCAGAAAAACAUUCAAUUCUGGGCAAAACAAGCCGGUAGGAAGUGAUGCUGCCCUCCGCCAUGGCAGAAAUUGGUCACCUGCCUGAAAUAGCCCUGCCUGAGUAACUGAGCAUUUCUGUUUGUGCCAUGACAUCAAACCAGGUACAGCAAGCCCCAACACCAUUCCUUUGGGAAAAACUGUGAUGGAGUGGGUCCCCAGUGACUCUCUGAGGAUCCCCUGCACUGCCUGCCAUCUGCCUUUGUGCUCCAGGCUGAGCACACAGCCUAGGAUCUGCUUUUUUAAAAUAAAUGGGUACCUACUGGGGUUCAGAGACUUAGUAAUUAGUUCCCCAUCCAUCUGACCCAUUCACACCUGUUGAGUAGAGAAACUCUCCUUGAUCUCAGGUUCUGAAGAACAGAGCCUUCUCUAUUAUCCCUGUCUGGGGGUACCAAGUAUCUGGAACACCGAGACGCAAGUUGGCUUUGGAAGCACUUGCCAGAAUCAAAUCAGCUUGUCGUGGAAUCACAACAUUCAAGCACAGCUCGUGUCUUGUGAAAUCCUGACGAUUUCUGAGCACAUGCAGAAUGUAGUAGGUGUUAGGUGCAGAGUUGGGGGCCAGUAGAGACGGGGGCUCACAGGUUCAUUUUUGUGUUAGAAAACUGAAAGGUCAAAAUUAGCUUCUGUUCUAAGAGAAGCCAGAUAGAUAACAAGUAGCCUUUCACUUGGUCUCCAAGUCCUAGAAAUAAGGAGUGAUGGUGCCUGGUUCAUGAUUCUUGAGAAAACUGAGGUGGAAUCAUUUAAAAAGUGCCCAGUCGUAGUGCUGAUGCUCAGUGAACAGCUAUACCCACACGAGGGCAUAGCUUCAUGGAAAGUGCACUGACUCUGGAGAUGGAGGAUUCAGUCUUACAUCUCACUUCAGGAUCGGGGGCAAAUAAUUUACUGUAAAAGUAACAGGCCACCAUCACUAGAUACCAUUUGUUAAGUGUUUAAUAUGUACUCUGGUACUGUGGUACGAUCUCAUUAUUCCUCACAAGGGGUAAAUCACUUGAUGAGACUUAAAGUCAGCUUUCAUGAACUUAGUCCAUACUUAUAACCACUGCAAUCUCUUCUCCAUUCAGUCUCCCUUAAUUUCCCUGAGCCUCAGUUUCCUCAGUUGUAAAAUGGGGUGAUAAUGUCCAUUUUACAUGUUUACAAUAAAAAAUGAAGAAGAUAACAUGUAUGGCUCUUAACCAAUAAAACUUUUCCUACUAUUUAACCACUUCUGGAAGGAAUACUUCCUAUUAGCAAUUGCAGAGUGCAG
Nannospalax galili (Upper Galilee mountains blind mole rat) is the source of this 2530-nucleotide long non-coding RNA. RefSeq lists it as uncharacterized. NCBI's taxonomy places the organism in Eukaryota, Metazoa, Chordata, Mammalia, Rodentia, Spalacidae. The transcript is spliced from 3 exons. The record is from RefSeq and is a predicted model, not a curated record.